RNAcentral lists this ribosomal RNA (498 nucleotides) under uncultured bacterium. Its description in RNAcentral is "partial 16S ribosomal RNA". It matches the Rfam family "Bacterial small subunit ribosomal RNA", at positions 30 to 523 of the family's 1533-position model. The record is from RNAcentral.
AUUGAACGCUGGCGGCAUGCCUUACACAUGCAAGUCGAACGGUAACAGGUCUUCGGAUGCUGACGAGUGGCGAACGAGUGAGUAAUACAUCGGAACGUGCCCGAUCGUGGGGGAUAACGAAGCGAAAGCGUUGCUAAUACCGCAUAAGAUCUACGGAUGAAAGCAGGGGACCGCAAGGCCUUGCGUGAACGGAGCGGCCGAUGGCAGAUUAGGUAGUUGGGGGGAUAAAAGCUUACCAAGCCGACGAUCUGUAGCUGGUCUGAGAGGACGAUCAGCCACACUGGGACUGAGACACGGCCCAGACUCCUACGGGAGGCAGCAGUGGGGAAUUUUGGACAAUGGGCGAAAGCCUGAUCCAGCCAUGCCGCGUGCAGGAUGAAGGCCUUCGGGUUGUAAACUGCUUUUGUACGGAACGAAAAGACUCUUUCUAAUAAAGAGGGUCCAUGACGGUACCGUAAGAAUAAGCACCGGCUAACUACGUGCCAGCCGCCGCCGUAA